AGCAGAGUGGCCUAAUGGAAAGACCACGGGCCUGGGAGUCAGAAGGACCUGGGUUCUAAUCCCAGCUCUGCCA
RNAcentral lists this transfer RNA (73 nucleotides) under Ornithorhynchus anatinus (platypus). It matches the Rfam family "tRNA". From Rfam's summary of the family: Transfer RNA (tRNA) molecules are approximately 80 nucleotides in length. Lineage: Eukaryota; Metazoa; Chordata; Mammalia; Monotremata; Ornithorhynchidae. The record is from Rfam by way of RNAcentral.